CUUUUUGCUAUUUCUUGGGCCGCUCCCGCGGCAUAUGGAGGUUCUCAGGCUAGGGGUCGAAUUGGAGCUGUAGCCACGGGCCUACACCAGGGCCACAGCAACGCGGGAUCCGAGCCGCGUCUACAAGCUACACCACAGUUCACGGCAACGCAGGAUCAUUAACCCACUGAGCAAGGCCAGAGACCGAACCCACAACCUCAUGGUUCGGAUUCGUUAACCACUGCGCCACGACGGGAUCUCCGGAAGAAUUAUUCUUAAAAUGGUCAUACUACCUCCAGAGCAACCACACAUUUAAUGUGAUCCCUAUCAAAAAAACGCAUAAUGUAUUUCCACAGAACUAGAAUAAAUAAUACUAAAAUUUAUAUGGAACCACAAAGACCCAGAAUUGCCAAAGCAAUCUUAGAAAAACAAAUAUUAUACGAUAUCACUUAUUUUUAGAAUCUGAAUAUAAUACAAAUGAGUCUAUAUACAAAAUAAAGAACAGUUUUACAAGUAUAGAAAACAAACUUAUGGUUACCUAAGGGAAAUGGGGGGGAUAAAUUGGAUUAAGGGACUGAAAGAUAAAAACUGCUGUACAUAAAAUAGAUAAGCAACAAGAGUUUACUGUAUAACACAGGGAACUAUAUUCAAUAUCUUAUAAUAACCUAUAAUGGAAAAUAAUCUAAAGAAAUAUAUAACUGAAUCACCUUGCUAUAACCUGAAACUAACACAAUAUUGUGAAUCAACUAUACUUCAAUUUAAAAAAAAAAGAGGGUCCAGAUUAUUUUAUCUUUCACCAUAGUGUUUUCUUCAUAAUUAUGCAAAUAUAGCAAAAUACAAUCAUCUUAACCCAUUUAGAAAUUCAUUAGGAACAAAACUAGAUUGCAAUAUUUAUAAUAUUAAGUCCAUUCCUGAUUUUCACUGGUGCAAGAGCCUAAAUCUCCUAGAUUUUUUAAUAUAACCCUGACAGGAAUUCCCAUCAUGGCUCAGCAGAAAUGAAUCUGACUAGCAUCCAUGAGGGCACAGGUUCUAUCCUUGGCCCCGUUCAGUGGGUUAAGGAUCCGGUGUUGCUGUAAGCUGUGGUAUAGCUGUGUUGCUGUGGUUGUGGCUAGCCUGGGAACCUCCAUAUACCAUGGGUGCAGCCCUAAAAAAAGAGACAAAUAUAUAUAUUUAUAUAUUCUGUCAGGGACAUGUAUAUCCCUGUCAGAAAUAUUUCCUGAGCCCCAGAACAGUACUGGUUUCCAUCUCUGCUCUCUGUAAGUUUCAGUCAAUCUCUAGACCCUAAGUAAAUUUUCUUGAUGCAAGCUCUCUCACUGGCAGAUCUUAGUUCCUAAGCACCAAGAAACUCUAGAUAAUUUACUCUGCAUUUUAGAAGCUUUUAGCUUAGUUCCCCUGCAGCUCUAGAACCUAUCUGGAAACAAUAAGUAUUUGAGUCUCUUCAAGCUUCCAAACUGCCAUAUCAGCCCCCUGUAACUGCUAAAAGCUCAGGUGGUCACUCUUACUCCCAGCAGAGUUCUGCUUCAUCAGCGAGCCUGCUCCUCAGGUCAUGCUCAAAAUUGGCAGAUGACUCAGGUUGAAAAAUGACUAGAGUAGUCAGCUUCUCACCUCUCAAGAUUUAGGGUUUAUCUCAUCUCUGUUACUUCUACAUUUCCCCCAUGCAUUCAGAAAUAUGAAGUUUGCAAUUUAUCUGUUGGUUUCAAGUUGUUGCAGUGGGAACAUUACCCUGUCAGCUUCUACUGUAUCCUUCUGAGAAGCAGAAGUCUACCCUAUCUAGAAGCAGAAAACCCGUUAGCAAUAUUUUGGUUGCAAGUAGCAAACAAGCCAAAGCAAACUGGCUUAAGAAAAAAGAAAUUUCUUGUUUCAGCUAACUGAAAAGUCCAUGUGUAAGUCUCCUUUCAGCCAUAGGCAAUACAGGAAUAUUUUUAAAAUCUCACUGGCUAUAGUCAGUCAUGCUCCCAUUCCUGUCUUAGUCAUCACCCAAACUAAGCGGACUUAGAGUGGGGAUGCAUGACUUCUCAGAGCAAAAUAUGUAUUAUGUUAUUAGAGGAAAAACAAGUAGAUUGUGGGCAGUCAGAGCAAUUGCUCACUAUGCUUGACCAGUCCAGCUGUCAUUCAUUUAUUUGUCAUCCCAACUGCCGUAGUUUAUACCAGUCAUUUAACCACUGAAAUUCAUUAUUUUGACUUGUGUGGUGCUCAGGGUAAGCUGAAACCUAGCUUUCAAUAUUCUUUUGAUACCCAAAGCAUAAAAAUUCAUGCUGGACUGUUAAUAGAUACUUAAUAAAUACCUGUGCCUUGGUCAGCCCUGGAGUAGGUUACCUGACUGCAUUUCACACUGUAGGUCAGCAGCUGAAGAAGGAUUAGUUUCUCGGUUUUUAACUCUAAUCAUGUGCUACUAAGGACUGUCAGAAGAAAGCACUUUAAAAUAAGCCAUGGGUUAUUGUUGUAUAUUUUAUAUAGUUCUCCUUUGAAGGAAAACUAAAUGUGAAAAUGGGUUGAGGAUGCCUAGCUAAUCCCUGAGCCAUUUCACUGAUGUGCAAUAUUGGGUUCAGCAUGUCUGCAUUUGCGGUGACAUCACUUAUCCCAUUUUCCACCUUCCAGGCAGGCAAUUAUGGGAGAGACUUCAGUGCUGCUCUCCAAGAGACUAGACUGAGGGCUGAAUGGAACAGCCCCACUCCCUCCCAACUACUUGAUGUGUCUCUCCCAACAAAGGAAAUGGUUUUGAAUUCUUCCUUUCACCUGCUUCUGCCAGAAAUCUCAUAAAAGAGUCUACACUUUGAGCCUGAGCUUAAAACUAGGAACUGCCUGAUACAGUCAGUGGAGGGUUAGAAUUAACAGACCAUGCUAUUUCCAGCAUAUGCGCAGAACCCAAGUGGCUGUAUUGACUAAAGCCACUUGAAAGAGAAAGACCUAAAGGAAUUAAUAAAUUAGAGCAAAUGUGUAGUGUGGUGAGCAUAGUUACUGGUGUCAGAAUCCUGGCUCUGUCAGUGGGUGGCCUUGGGCCUCACAUUUCUGAUUUGUAACAUAGAGGUACUGUAAUUAAUUGGAAUAAUGUAUGUGAAAUGCUUAGCAUGGUGCCAGGCAUAACCAAUAAAAAAUAGUCAUUACUGGUAUUUUUAUUGAACUAUGCAGGAAACUUUAUGGAUAGCAUCACCCCCUAUUUAUCACUAUGGUAAUGCUAGCAUUGCAAAAGCCACAGAUAAGUGCUAAAGAUAAGCAGAGAAAGCUUAAGGAUUUGGGUUUUUUUUAAUGUGUACAGGCGUGCUCUUCUGGCACAGCACGUUAAGGAUCCGGUGUUGUCCAUGCAUCACCUCUGGUCACUGUUGUGGCUCAGGUUUAAUCCCCGACCCAGGAACUUCCACAUGCCAUGGGUGUGGUCAAAAAAAUUUUUUUGGAAGUGUCCAUUUUUUUUCCCUGCACAUCAAAAUACCCAAACCGUUUUGAAUUUCUGCAGACCCAAGGGCAGAGGUUAUCAUUAAAAGUUAACACCAUUAACUAAGAUGGGGAAAAAUUAGAGAUACAUUCCUAUGAGUACCUAUAUCGCUCAGAACUCAUACAAAAUCUCCUUAGACUGUAGUAUACAAACUCAUAUUAAAUGCUGUUUUUUUCCUUGGAGUUCCCACUGUGGUGCAGCGGAAAUGAAUCUGACUGGUAUCCAUAAAGAUGCGGGUUCAAUCCCUGGCCUCUCUCAGAGGACUGGGGAUCCGGCGUUGCUGAAAGCUGUGGUGUAGGUUGCAGGCGCAGUUCAGAUCCCGCAUUGCUGUGGCUGCGGUAUAGGCCAGCAGCUAUAGUUCUGGUCUGACCCCUAGCCUAAAUUGAAAGCAAAGAGUAUGCAAGUUCUAUUUUGCCACGAGUUUUUACUUCUUUCCUCUUUCCCUAUUUUAAACCUCAUCCCUGAGAAUUUUCUGUUCACCUAGUUAUCGCAGAUAUUUACUCAUUUGUGGUUGAGUUGAAAAAUAUAUAUAGUAUUGGCCAGGCCCUAUGCCACAGACACGAAAUCUAUGUCCUGCCCACAGUCCAGUCCAGGUGAAGGUAAGGAAACAGAAUAUUUUAACACCGUGAGAGAAAUGUCCACAAAUUGUGAGAAAGUAACAGAAUCUGAGGGUUAAAGAAUGGAUGGGAGUCAAGAAAAGGGGUCAUGGACUGAGAAUCUUGGCAUGACCAAAGGUACAGAGGCAAGAGAUAGCUCAUCAUGGCAUGAAACUGAAAACCAUUUGAUGGUGUUCAUGCAGAAAGUUCAAAGUAGUAAGUGGCAAAAGAAUUCUGGGGAAGCAGACAAGGGCAAAAUAGUAAGGUCCCUCUCUUUUGCUUUAACAACUUUGAGCUUCUUUCUGUACAUAGUGGGGAGCCACUGAAGGGCCUUAAAAUAACAAGCGACAUGGUCAGAUUUCACAUAUUAGAUAGAUUACAGAGUGGAGGAGGUCAUUCGAGGCUGUGGCCAGAGGCAGCAAGACCAGCUAUGAAUCAUAAUAAUCACCAAUAAUCAAGGCUAGAAACCCAAAGGCCUGAAAUGCAGGCAGUGGUAGCUGACAGAGAGGAAAUUAGGGAAAGAUGUCUAGGGAAGAUGAAACUUGAUGUUUUUCCAAAAUAAUCCUUAAAAAAAAUGAGAAAACAUUUAAAAGUGAAAGAUAAAGUAUAAAAAAAAAAAUAGAAACCCAUGAGUCUACAUAAUGUGUUUUCUAAGGAAGUUAAUUAUGCUAGCUCAUAUUUUACCAAAUAGGCAGCUUCAGAAAUGUUCCUGGCCUCUAUCCUAUUUCCCUUUGAUCCUGGGACAAACUUGGGGUGACACCACAUCUAGCAGUGAAGGCUCCAUCCAUGGCCUUGAUUUCGCUCCUUCUAAGCAUGAUGGUGUCAGGUUCUCAGGCUUUAGAUCUUGAGGCCAUGGCUAUGCAUCCUCCUCAUCUCCUACAACUGACAGUCAGGGUCCUGGGCCCGGAGUCCUCAAAGGAAAAAGGUGCUUCCUUAUUGGCUUCCUAAUACCUCUUCUUAGGCUUCAGGCCAUUUUUCUUCAUCUUUAUAUUUACUUCUAGCAUCUGUCUUGAUAUCUUUCCUCAAAGUAGAACUUCUCAGAAUUCCAACCAGAGAAGUUCUCUGAGCCCUGACCAAUAAAUACCUUUUUAUUUUGUACUGUUUCAGAGAACACAAUGGUGGGGAGACAAAUUAUAUUCUUCAGUGGCAAAUGUAUUGUUCACUAUGGUCCCACAAACUGUGCCCUGCAGGCUAAAUCUGCUCCACUAUAUGUUUUAAUAAAGUUUUACUGGAACAGAGCCACUCUCCUUCAAUUUAGGCAUUUUCUCAGUUGCAUGGGCGCUACUGUAGCAGAGUUGAGUAGUUGUUUCCAUGAGCUGAGACUAUGUGUCUCAGAACCUUAAAAUAUGUAUCACAUGGCCCCUUUUUAUCCUCCCCUUCCCAGGGCAUGUGGAAGUCCCCAAGCUAGGGGUUGAACCCAUGCCACAGCAGUGGGAUCAUUAACCCACGAAGCCACCAAUGAACUCCUCAUAUGGCCCUUUACCAAAAAAAGUGUGUUGAACCUUUCUCUAAACCAUCAUUAAGACCGAUUUUUCUCAGUAGUUUUAUUUAUCUUAUAGUAAAUGCCCAUAUUCUUGUAGCUUUUGGAACUCUCCCCAGCUCCCUACCACAGUUGCUAUGUCCCAACCUCAGUGCCUGUGUCCCAUGGGAGGACAGUCUUCAGUUUCACCAACUCCUUUCUCAGAGUUCACAAGAGUGGCUAUCCAGAAUUCUAUUAAUAAAUUCUACAAAAUCUCUACAGAAAAUUGUUUUUCAUAUAUGGUAUCAGUUUUUAAAAUUUGCUCUGAGCAGGACAUGAAAGAGUAUUGAGUGAUUAGGUCUCUAUGAAAUGGUGCAAUUAGUUUUCCUCCUUUGUUCUCUUUCCUACAAGGCAUAUCAGCAGAGCAAGAGACAUGAGAGAAGAAGCAAAACUGAAAUUCUUCAAUAAGCCGUAUACCAGACAAUCAACUCGUGAUAACUAAAUUUAGCUGAACCACUUUUCAAGGGAUAUAAAAUGUCCUUGAUUUUCCUGUAAUAUAAUAAGAUAAUUCAUAUCUGUUUUUCCUUAAAGUAGUAUUUUGUUAAGAGACAAUACCAUUUAAUGAUUUAGAAUAAGGACUCUGUUCUUUGUUAAAUACCACCAUCCUUAUUCAUUCUUUUAUGUCACUUUGUACCUCAGUUUUCUCACCUGUAAAAUAGGAAUAAUACUGUAUUAUCUAAUAGUGUUUUAUCUAAUAGCGUUUUAUGAGUUAAUAUAUGCAAAAUGCUUAAAUAGAUAAAUACUGUUACUGUAUUUUUCUUUCUCGCAUUCUGUUUGUCUCUAUUCUCACAGUGAUGAGUAUUUCCAUUUAGAAG
This 6339-nucleotide long non-coding RNA is filed under the name Sus scrofa (pig). RNAcentral describes it as "lncRNA (ENSSSCG00060058327.1)". The record is from RNAcentral. Lineage: Eukaryota; Metazoa; Chordata; Mammalia; Artiodactyla; Suidae.